Molecule: RNA transcript, 2684 nt
Organism: Magnolia sinica
Lineage: Eukaryota; Viridiplantae; Streptophyta; Magnoliopsida; Magnoliales; Magnoliaceae
Gene name: multisubstrate pseudouridine synthase 7
Exons: 21
Source: RefSeq, a predicted model, not a curated record
AGGUAGUGUAGUGCUCACUACAUGUUGGGAAUCGGGGUUUUGAGCUUUCCUCUCUCUCUACUAAAACCCUUCACCAAAACCACCAUCAGCAGCAACAAGCUAAAACCCCACCACCGCUUCUGCAGCUGCUACAUCGAAACCCUAGCCAUGAAAACCCUAGACGAAGCUGACGUCGGGAUCCUUUGCUACAUCUCCAAGCUCCCGGGCUUCCGUGGCGUUUUGAAACAAAGGUAUUCGGAUUUUAUUGUGAACGAAGUUGAUUGCAAUGGAAAUGUUGUUCACCUGACAUCAUUUGAUCUGCCUCCGGAGAAAAUAGAUGAAAAAGAAAGCAAAAUCCUUGAUUCCACACCGAAUGAUAGUCACAAUGCAGAAAUCGAAUCCUUUAGAUCUCUCGCCGGUGAUGCUGAUGCCGAAUCCUUGAAAGGAUUUCUUGAACGGAUCCAAUGUGGUGUUGAGAACGAUAUUUCUCCAAUUGUUCUUUCUGCAGAUGCCAACAAAUCCCAUCGGACGGAAGUUCAUAAUUUCUUCAAGGCAAAUUUCAAGUUCUUGGUCACUGACACAGUUGAAGGACCGGAUGCUAGUUCAAAAUGCAUUCGGGUGAGGUUUUCCUCAGGGGACCAACGUGAUAGAGGAAGGAACUCUAAGAAACGGAAAGAAAGGGGAGGUUGUGAAGAUUCCAAGGAUAACAAGCCUUUCGACAGCAGAGGUUCGAAUGAUUGGCCCAAUGACACUGGCAAAUUCCUUAGGUUUCAUCUUUACAAGGAGAAUAAGGACACGCAAGAGGCUUUGGGAUUGAUAGGAAAGAUGCUAGGUAUCCAGCAACGGUCAUUUGGAUUUGCUGGUACCAAAGACAAACGUUCAAUAUCAACUCAAAGGGUUACUGUUUUCAAGCAGCAGGCGAAAAGAUUAGCUGCUCUGAAUGACAGGUUGAUUGGUAUCAAAGUAGGAGACUUUUGUUAUGUACAAGAAGAACUUGUUCUUGGAAAGCUCUUGGGAAAUCGAUUCACAAUUACUUUGAGAGGAGUUGUUGCAGAUUCCGAAGAUGUUAUUAAAGCAACUGCAGAUGACUUGGGUAGGAAUGGGUUUAUCAAUUACUUUGGUUUGCAGCGUUUUGGAAGUGGGUCGGUGCCAACUCACUUCGUUGGAGCGGCAUUACUUCGAGGAGAAUGGAAAAUUGCUGUAGGCUUGAUUCUUGAUCCAAGAGAAGGGGAGCGUGACAUCGUCAGGGAGGUACGGGAAUAUUACAAGGAAAGUGGGGAUAUCGAGGGGACUCUAAGACGAUUGCCCCGCUAUUUGGUUGCUGAAAGAGCUAUACUUCAGUGUUUAAAGAAAUGCCCUGGUAACUACUUACAGGCCCUGAAGGCUAUACCAAGAACUAUGAGAAUGAUGUAUGUGCACAGUUACCAAAGUUACCUGUGGAACCAUGCGGCAAGUAUGAGGGUGCAGAAAUAUGGGAAUGGCCAAGUCAUGCUGGGAGAUUUGGUAUAUUGUAAAGGAAGUUCCCCUGAAAAGAUUCAAGAGGUUGUUAACAUUAAACCUGAAGAUUGUAGCUGCAAUGAUGCGCUUGAUUACAGUAAUCUAGAUGAGAUACCUGAAGCAGCACUUCUUGAAGAAAAAGUUCAUUCUGUGAAAGCUGUUAAUGCUGAGGAUCUACUUACGGGUGAUUAUACAGUUAAUGACAUCAUACUUCCUUUGCCUGGUUCAAGAAUAAUCUAUCCAAUGAAUGAUAUAGCCAACGUAUAUCAUGAUUUGGCAAAGAAGGAUCGUAUUAGCUUGACAGAGAGCAUACACAGUGUGAAGGAAUUUUCAAUUACCAGUAUGACGGGAGGUUACAGGCGAGUCUUCCAGCAGCCGAUUGAUUUUGAAUGGGAAGUGCUCAGGUAUACUGAUUGCAAUGUAUCCUUGGCGGAGACAGAUUUGGACAUUAUUGCUAAAUCAAGACCUGCCAAUAUAAUUGAAGAGCCUUUUGCUGAUGGAAACGAGCCCAAGACUCUUUCCAACAACUGUGUGAAUGAAUUGGAGAAUUUAGGGAACAGGAGAAUGAGUUUGGCUGGUGAUCAUGAGGCUAAGAAUGAAAUAGAGAAGUUGCCACAAGUAGAGUCCAUUUGUAGCUCUGAUGCUCAGCCUCCCCAGAUGGCGUUGAAAUUAGGCUUCACCUUGCCAGCAUCCAGCUAUGCCACAAUGGCCAUAAGGGAGCUGCUGAAAUCGUCCACCUCAGCUGCUUAUCAGAAGACACUAAACCCUUGAAAGCAGCUGCCGGUCCUAAUGUUGCAUUGAGGGCCAUGGCACACUUAGAGUGGAUGAUCCAAUCAUAGUUUCUGGUCUCUGUUUUGGCUUUGUUUUCGGAAGUGUCCUCAGGAGAUGGUACAGGGAUGGAGCUGGUAGGACGAUGUAUGAAUCUGGACUGUCCAUCAAGUCGACCCAUCAUUCAAAAUUCACACUUGCUGGAUAGUCCUUGUCAUCAAACAAACAAAUGUGUUUAGAUGACACUAAAAACAUGUAUAGGGUUGAGAUUGAUCGAGAAAUUGUGCUGAAAGUCAUUGGUAGGCUUAUUAGUUUUGUUUUUAAUUGUGGGCCAUCCACGAGAGGGCCUACUAAAUAAAUGGCUCUGAUUCAUUCACUUCCCUCCCCUCUAAGGUGAAGAAGGGGCUCUAUCACAUUCUGGUUCCACUGCUUUAACAGUA